UUAAAGCCUAUUGUAUAUUAUCCCGAAGUUUCAUUCCAUAAAAAACAGAAAUAAGGAAAUUCGAUAUUUCGUGUACCAUCAGCAUCCAAAUUUUCAAGUAUACAGAAAUUUAACUUUCCGGAAUAUAACGGAAAUUUUCGGGUAUCUCCGUGGUACCAUCUCCGUGCAAUUAUGCAGUAUGGCGUUCAUCUCUUACGGAAAGAGAAUGGUAACUUGGUAAGUGUUUAAAAUACAUAUUCAACGUUUUUUUCGUUUAUUUUUAUGACUUUUGUACAGUAGUAUAAAUCGUCCACCCUUUGGAUGAAAAGCAAAUGAUUUAUCCGGAUUUUGUUCAUCCGAAACUAAAUCACUAGUAUCAACAUCCGGUGUAAUUUUUGCUGGUAUUUUGGAGAAACCCGAUUGAUUUCUAGCAAACUUGGUUUACCACUACAUCGUCGCUUAUUAUUGUUUGUUGCUGCUUGGGACAAUAAAGUUAAGUCAGCAACCGUCUACCAGACUGCAAGAUUCAUCUCUUCCAAAGGAUGUUGUACCUUUCCAGAUACACUGUGUUUUGUGUGGAUAAGAAAUGCAGAGUGGUACCACCAAUCACCUAAUGGGGACAGUUCCUGCAAUUUACAGAAAAGCUCUCAAUUGUAGCCCUACGAACUUCAGAUACUGCCGAUGGUGAAGCUUGGGUGCACUGGGCCGGUUUUCCAGCCGUGUGGAAUCAACAUCUCCAGCUGAACUGGGGCCGGGAAUUAUAUAAGACUCCUUAGCAGCAUGAGUGCCAGCCAGUCAUUGCUGUUCUUUGCAUUGCUGAGGAGGACAGUCCUGCCAACAUAACAGUUUGUUCAAUAACAGGAGACAAACAGAAACACAGAGGUGCUAUACAUUCUGAUGGAAAAACAAAAGCAUCUCCCAUCAUUUUGGCGUGGCUCAGAUCAAGAGGAGAAUUUUAAGAAAGGUGAUGGUUGGGCACACACAAGAAGACAUAGAUCACAGGUGUCUAGCCAUAUGAGUAGAUAGGAGUGUCACAAUCUGCCAAACGUACUUCAUCAGACGAGCAGAAAGCUUCUCAAGAUCCCGCACUGCACACUAAGACAUAGUCUUUGACUACAACAAGGUGAUGAAAGUACAGAGAGGUCCAAUUGAAAUCAAUUCUGUGCUGCUGUCAUUUCUUCAUUCUGGAAGUCGAUGGACAUGAUUUAUCAUGGCAUCAAGUGUGCAGUUUGCCGACUACCAGCAGUCUUGUUCACCAGCUGUGCAACUUGAGCUGGUAGCUUUAUUGCUUGAAGCCACUGCAUAAGAGGGGGAAGGUGCAGGCUCAUCAAAAAGUCUCAAAAGUUGAAACUAGGAAAAGAAGUUUAUCAAGAGUGUGAAUCUAUUUUGAAAACAAUCGUAAACAUACUAUGAAUUGAGAUGCUUAAAUAAAAAACCGCUAUUCAAAUAUCAGGAAACUGCCUUUUUCAUACUAAAGGGUAAAUGAUGUCGCCAUUUCCUGUAUGUAUUUAAAUAAGAUAUGUCUCCACAAUUAAUAUUUUUAGGGAAUUUUUCUCAACCUAAUGAAUGAGAUUAAAUUGUACAGUGUUAUAUGAGCUUAAUAUGUGUUUUCUCAUUCUUUAAAAUUGGUGAAAAAUUGUCAGAAGAUAAUUAGACCAGUAUCCAUUACUGCAAUCAUACAAUCAAAUAUACAGGGACAAGCCCACUGGGCAUAUGAUAUAAUUAAACCCUGUUUAGGAGCACGAGGCAAACACUUUCAAACGUUAAAGCUGCACUCUCACACUUUGGAUGUUUUGACAACCUUUUUCAUUUUAUGUCUUGGAUUGGAACCAUCCAAUUUUUGCGAAAAAUUAAAUCCCAGAUUUUUCUAUUUAAGUUAAAACAUUGAUGUUUUUUAUGCACUUUUCUUAAACCGUUAGUAAAUAUUAAUUUUCGAACGGAAAUAUGAAAUCUGCGAUCGGAUCUUUUGUCAGCAAUCUUUUAUCAUUGGUUUGCAGAUAAUUACGCCAAAACUUGCUCAUUCCAAGACAAAAAAAGUUGUGGAAACGGUAUAUCUGUGAGAGUGCAGCUCUAAAUGUUUAAUUGCUUGAUUUUACUACUGUAUUAGAAAUUACAGGGAUUGGGGCAUAUUUUUAGUGUUUUUAUUGCUUGUUUUUGAUUCAUACAGUCAUACUUUAUUCUUCAGGGCACAACUUACAAAUAGACAAAACUGGAAAAUGGUCAUAUCAAAAGGUCAAAGAUAAUGCAAGUUGAACAAUCAUAUUGUUCAUGGCUUGUAUUUUUGGUAUAUUUUGUUGCAUAUGCUAUAGAAAAGUUGAAAGUUAAAAAUAAAUUCUUAGUUGAAAUGAUGGCUUUGAAUGGUAUUGUCAGAUGAGAAACGGCACUAUUAAGAAAUAGGUAUAAUGGUACUUUAUUUAUUUUAAUCAAUUUUAGAUAUUAUGAAAAUUAUUAUCUUAUUUAGUACAUGAGACCUUUUAAACAGUUAUUGACAAUAUAACAAUGUGUAUAUGAAGCUUUAGAUCAACACUUAAAGCUGCACUCUUACAGAUUGUCAGUUUAGACACAAACUUGUCUCAAAAUCGGCUGAUUUGGUUAUCAUUCCUUUAAUUCAGUCAUAUUAGAUAAUUCAUGAUAGAACCAAUCAAAAAUGUUCGGUAAAACUGCCGAAAAGUUCAUUUACAUUAAAUUGUUCGUAAUGCUUUUAGUCAUUGUUCGUAAUGCUUUUAGUCAUAAAACAUCAUUUUUUUAACAUAAAUAUGAUGAACUGCAAUAUGAUCUUUUUUCAGCAGUCUUAUAUCACUUCAAAUUGGGUCUAGACAUUUCUGCAAAAAAUACUCCAUUUAUAGACAAACAAUAAAAGAGUACCAGUAGUCAAAACGAUCAAUCGGUGAGAUUGCAGCUUUAAAUACACCUUUUAAGACCGCUGUAAAAUUCCAAUGGUUUGCCUAAAUCUUUAAAGCUAGCAUACUGUUUAAUUGACAACCAUACUUAUUGUUUAAAAGUGUCAUGAUAUCUUUGUACAAUGUUUUUAUAUAAUUCAUUUAAGAAGUGAAAACAAAUUUGUUUAUCUUGUAAUUUGUUAUCUAUUAUUUAAAUGACUCAGUCAAAAAUGGGAACGUCAGUGCUAGUUCUUUUACUAUUAACAUCACAUGAAGUUUCUAUUGGUGUAGCAGCAAGGAGGUGUUACAUUAAGGAUGCAUCAUUUAAACCAAAUUAUACAUUCAUAUGCACAUCAUACAGGCGUGUAGCCGCCUAUACGUGAAUACGCGGCUGAAUCCACAUGAUUCUGACAAAAAAAUCAACCAAAGUUGCAGUAUGCGAACUUGACUACAUGAAUCUAAAACUGGUUAUUUUCCAGUACUAAAUAAUGCACAUCGGAACGCCCAGAAUGCACUAGAUUGCACCAUGGUUUUCAAAAUUUUCUGAGGGGGCACGCCCCUGAACCCCCCAGCACAUUUAUGAAUUCACAUGAAUAGAGGGGUAGCUACACCCCUGACAUAAUUGAAACCACAGUGUGGCUAAACAACACUUGUAUGUUUAUCAUACGCAGUGAUCUCCCAUGGAAAUGCAAUCGUCAAAGAAUCUGAAGGGGCUGUUUAUAUGGACUAGAUUUGAAAUGCACCAAGUGUUUAAAAAAGUUGAUUUCAGUCACGAAGAGAAUCAACCAUACCCCACACUUGUUGGAGUAAGAUGAAAUGUCCACUUUCCGCGAGAAAGAAAGUACAUUGAAAAUGUUCAUUUGAUUCAAUUGACUUUAUCUUUUUAUAAAUAUGUUGCAAUACAUAAAAUACGUUAUUUGUUAUAAUUGUUUACCCAUGUUGAAUUUUAUUUGGCAAAUUUAUAAGAGAUUUAAAUAUUAAGAAACUCAGCCGCCAAAGAGGAUAUGAUUAUGACAUACUUUUUUUAAAUCUUUCGAACAUGAGUUUUUGAGUGAAUAUAAGCGAAGCGUUAAGUGUUUUGAAAAUGCAUCUUUUACUUGGAUUUUAUAGAUUGUUAUUACGAAAUAAAGUAUGGCGAAUCAAACGAAGUGUUAAAGCCAAGCUAUUGAUGGCUGAAACCCUUCAAUAAAUGUUGAUAUGUGCUAAAAUAUAGUCUUUGAAGUCCAAAAUUUUGAAAUGCGUUACUAACCCGAUUCAACAAAAGGCUGUUGCACAAUCAGUUGAUUGACAUAAUCACGUGAUAAACCAAUAACUUCCAUUAAGGUUAAAAUAUUCAACACCUUAGUAUGAGUCCCUGUGGGCGAGUGGAUAAGCGAUCCGUUUUUGAUUCUAUGUGUUAUCUGCACCCCCAUGUGCUUGCUCCCAACUUGAACAAGAUCAAUUUUUAAUACUUUAAUCUGUUUUUUAAAAAUGCAAUUGAAGUAUAAAAGAAAAUCAACCUGGUUACUAUUAUUUCGGCAGUUUCA
Long non-coding RNA from Mya arenaria, 4384 nucleotides. RefSeq lists it as uncharacterized. The record is from RefSeq and is a predicted model, not a curated record. The transcript is spliced from 7 exons. NCBI's taxonomy places the organism in Eukaryota, Metazoa, Mollusca, Bivalvia, Myida, Myidae.